This 558-nucleotide ribosomal RNA is filed under the name Triticum aestivum (bread wheat). RNAcentral describes it as "partial small subunit ribosomal RNA". The record is from RNAcentral. Lineage: Eukaryota; Viridiplantae; Streptophyta; Magnoliopsida; Poales; Poaceae.
AUGAGCAACGGCACCUACUCGGCCAAGUCCUGUUACCAGGCAAUGUUCACCGGCUCCAUGAUCGCCCCGCAUUGGAAGCUCACUUGGCGCACUUGGGCCCCUCUCCGCAUCCGGUUCUUCGCUUGGCUGGCUGGCAUGGAUCGCUGCUGGACUGCCGCCCGGCUGGCCCGGCACGGGCUGCCGCACGAUGAUCUUUGCACGCAUUGUGACCAGGAGCUCGAGGCGAUCGAUUACCUGUUCCUCCACUGCCCGUUCUCCAGGACCAUUUGGCAUGAGAUUUUCGCUUGGUGCCAUGCCCCGAUCCCCCCUCCCCAGGGCCCCGAGAUCUCCUUCUUCAGCUGGUGGUCGGCUUUCGUCGGGGCCGCACCCACUGCCAUGCGCAAAGGGCUCUCCUCCUUGGUGCUUCUCUCCGCCUGGUCCAUCUGGCGUCACCGCAACGCAUGCAUCUUCGACAAUGCCAACCCUUCCACCGCGCUGCUUCUCCAGGCCAUCAAGUACGAUGCUAGGGUUUGGGCUAUGGCUGGCGCUAAAGACAUAGCUAAUCUCAUGCCGCCUUGA